RNAcentral lists this ribosomal RNA (373 nucleotides) under uncultured bacterium. RNAcentral describes it as "bacterial SSU rRNA". It matches the Rfam family "Bacterial small subunit ribosomal RNA", at positions 917 to 1289 of the family's 1533-position model. The record is from RNAcentral.
GGGCCCGCACAAGCGGUGGAGCAUGUGGUUUAAUUCGAUGAUACGCGAGGAACCUUACCAGGGCUUAAAUGUAGUCUGACAGGGGGAUGGCAAACACCCCUCCUUCGGGCAGAUUACAAGGUGCUGCAUGGUUGUCGUCAGCUCGUGCCGUGAGGUGUCAGGUUAAGUCCUAUAACGAGCGCAACCCCCUGCCGUUAGUUGCCAGCAUGUAAUGAUGGGAACUCUAACGGGACUGCCGGUGCAAACCGCGAGGAAAGGUGGGGAUGACGUCAAAUCAUCACGGCCCUUACGUCCUGGGCUAACACACGUGCUACAAUGGCCGGUACAGAGGGCAGCCACACGCAAGGUGGAGCGAAUCCUUAAAACCGGUCUC